UAUUUGAGAGUUUGAUCCUAGCUCAGGAUGAACGCUGGCGGCGUGCCUUAGGCAUGCAAGUCGAACGGGUCCGCGCAAGCGGACCAGUGGCGGAAGGGUGAGUANNNNNNNNNNNNNNNAGGGUGAGUAACGCGUGGGAACGUACCUUUUGGUGGAGAAUAGCCUUCCGAAAGGAGGGGUAAUUCUGCAUAAGUCCGCAAGGAGAAAGGGCUUAACCGCCCGCCGAAAGAGCGGCCUACGUCCUAUCAGCUUGUUGGUGGGGUAACGGCCUACCAAGGCAAUGACGGGUAGCUGGACUGAGAGGUCGGCCAGCCACAAGGGAACUGAGACACGGUCCCUACACCUACGGGUGGCAGCAACCAGGAAUCUUGGACAAUGGGCGAAAGCCUGAUCCAGCGACGCCGCGUGGGGGAAGAAGGCCUUCGGGUUGUAAACUCCUUUUGGCCCGUGUAAUGCGGGCAGAAUAAGCACCUGCCAACUACGUGCCAGCAGCCGCGGUGAAACGUAGGGUGCAAGCGUUAUCCGGAUUUACUGGGCGUAAAGGGUUGCGUAGGCGCCCAGCUUCAUCUUGUCUGAAAGCCUCCCGCUUAACGGGAGAAACGGACAGGAAAUGAGCUGGGUUUGAGGCUCACAGAGGUAGCCGGAACUUGCAGUGGAGCGGUGAAAUGCGUUGAGAUUGCAAGGAACACCGAUGGCGUAGGCAGGCUACUGGGUGAGAUCUGACGCUGAUGCACGAAAGCUAGGGGAGCGAAGCGGAUUAGAGACCCGCGUAGUCCUAGCCGUAAACGAUGGACACUAGCUGGCUGCCUUAUGGUGGCUGGCGCAAGCUAACGCGUUAAGUGUCCCGCCUGGGGAGUACGGCCGCAAGGCUAAAACUCAAAGGAAUUGACGGGGACCCGCACAAGCGGUGGAGCAUGUGGUUUAAUUCGAAACAAAGCGAAAAACCUUACCAGGGUUUGACAUCCCGCCUGCAAGCCGAUGGAAACAUUGGAUUCUUUUGAAGGUGGCGGGACAGGUGCUGCAUGGCUGUCGUCAGCUUGUACCGUGAGGCGCACCCUUAAGUGGGUUAACAAGCGCAACCCCCAUCCCAUGUUAAAUUUCAUGGGAAACUGCUCGCUAAAAGCGUGGAGGAAGGUGGGGAUGACGUCAAGUCAGCACGGCCCUUAUGUCCUGGGCUACACACAUCCUACAAUGGGUGAUAAACAGCGGGUUCGCAACGCCGCAAGGUGAAGCUAAUCCCUUAAAAGCACCCUCAGUUCGGAUUGAGGACUGCAAUUUGUCCUCAUGAAGCUGAAAUCGCUAGUAAUCGCGGAUCAGCAGGCCGCGGUGAAUACGUUCUCGGGUCUUGUACACACCGCCCGUCAAGCCAACAAAGUCGGGAGUGCCUGAAGUGUCGCAUUUAGCGGCCCCAAGGCAAUAUCGGCGAUGGGGACUAAGUCGUAACAAGGUAUCCGUUCUGGAAGGAGCGGAUGGAUCACCUCCUUUCU
Molecule: ribosomal RNA, 1487 nt
Filed under: Candidatus Curtissbacteria bacterium RIFCSPLOWO2_02_41_11
Lineage: Bacteria; Candidatus Curtissiibacteriota
Description: bacterial SSU rRNA
Rfam family: Bacterial small subunit ribosomal RNA
Source: RNAcentral